ACAUUGAAGGUUCAGUGGUAGAAUUCUCACCUCCCAUGCAAGAGACCCAGUUCGAUUCCUGGCCAAUGUA
Molecule: transfer RNA, 70 nt
Filed under: Loxodonta africana (African savanna elephant)
Lineage: Eukaryota; Metazoa; Chordata; Mammalia; Proboscidea; Elephantidae
Rfam family: tRNA
About the family: Transfer RNA (tRNA) molecules are approximately 80 nucleotides in length.
Source: Rfam by way of RNAcentral